AGCUUGCUACUUUGCUGACGAGCGGCGGACGGGUGAGUAAUGCUUGGGAACAUGCCUUGAGGUGGGGGACAACAGUUGGAAACGACUGCUAAUACCGCAUAAUGUCUACGGACCAAAGGGGGCUUCGGCUCUCGCCUUUAGAUUGGCCCAAGUGGGAUUAGCUAGUUGGUGAGGUAAUGGCUCACCAAGGCGACGAUCCCUAGCUGGUUUGAGAGGAUGAUCAGCCACACUGGGACUGAGACACGGCCCAGACUCCUACGGGAGGCAGCAGUGGGGAAUAUUGCACAAUGGGCGCAAGCCUGAUGCAGCCAUGCCGCGUGUGUGAAGAAGGCCUUCGGGUUGUAAAGCACUUUCAGUCAGGAGGAAAGGUUAGUAGUUAAUACCUGCUAGCUGUGACGUUACUGACAGAAGAAGCACCGGCUAACUCCGUGCCAGCAGCCGCGGUAAUACGGAGGGUGCGAGCGUUAAUCGGAAUUACUGGGCGUAAAGCGUACGCAGGCGGUUUGUUAAGCGAGAUGUGAAAGCCCCGGGCUCAACCUGGGAACUGCAUUUCGAACUGGCAAACUAGAGUGUGAUAGAGGGUGGUAGAAUUUCAGGUGUAGCGGUGAAAUGCGUAGAGAUCUGAAGGAAUACCGAUGGCGAAGGCAGCCACCUGGGUCAACACUGACGCUCAUGUACGAAAGCGUGGGGAGCAAACGGGAUUAGAUACCCCGGUAGUCCACGCCGUAAACGAUGUCUACUAG
This 743-nucleotide ribosomal RNA is filed under the name uncultured bacterium. RNAcentral's name for it is "bacterial SSU rRNA". It matches the Rfam family "Bacterial small subunit ribosomal RNA", at positions 73 to 819 of the family's 1533-position model. The record is from RNAcentral.